AUGACGAUGUCGUCGCCGGCCUCCACCCACCUCCUCCGCUCCGCGCCCGCGGCGCCCCUGCUCCCUCGCCGCGCCUCCCUGCAGCUCUCCUGCGUCGCCAGCGGAGCCGCGCCAAGGAGUAGGAGACGGAGCGGCCGCCUGGAGGUAGUCCGCGCGGCCACCGCGGAGGUGGCCGAGGCCGCCGGCGCCCCCGCCUACACCACCGAGUCCCUCAUCCUCUACUUCAAGGCGGAGGGCACCAUGGAGGAGAGGUCUAUCCCCAAGAUCACCCAGGCUCUCGAGGGGAUGGACGGCGUCAGUGACCUGGAGGUGCUCAUCGAAGAAGGCAUCGGAAGUGUUGUGUUAACGAAGGCGACAACAGUCCAAGCUACUGGGGUCGCCUCAAACCUGGUGGAAGCCAUCCAGGGAGUUGGUUUCAAGCUGCAAACUCUGAGCCUCAGCUUCGAGGACUUUGACAAGGAGGAUGCUGCUGCUGUUUCGGGAGAAGGAGCAGACGUCCAAGCCAGCGAGUGA
This 513-nucleotide ribosomal RNA is filed under the name Triticum aestivum (bread wheat). RNAcentral's name for it is "partial small subunit ribosomal RNA". The record is from RNAcentral. Lineage: Eukaryota; Viridiplantae; Streptophyta; Magnoliopsida; Poales; Poaceae.